AGUACUUGAAUUUGUCGUCUUGUAUUGGAUUUUGAUGAUGCUUAAGUAUAUAUUUUUUAUCUGAAAGCAUCAGUGGAUGUUGACAUCAAAUUUAUAUAGAAUGACAUAUUAAAGGAACUAUAUGUAGAUGGGACACCAAGCUUUUAAAAUCGUCACUGCAUUCCAAAUUCAAAAUAUUGGAGAGUGUCUCCCUCCCUCCCAGACUCUACGCUCAUGCAGGUUGCCAGGUUGGGGUCACUGAACCUACACCAACAAGCUUAUGCAGGUUGCCAGGUUGAGGUUACUGAAUUCCAGUUCAAGAUUAAACUUCAAUAAUGGCAAGUCACAACGAGUCCAACUCCAUAAGUAGAGUAGCUAAUGUAUACGUUUUUAGUGUUUCUAUUGUUCGCAAAUUAUAUACCAGCUCAUAUGGAUUUUUUUUAUACUCUCAGUGUUAGCAAGAUGCAUGGCUGGCUAUGUACAUUAGCCAAAGCUAAGCCUGUUAUCCCGAAAACAAGCUCACUGCUUUGAAAAUAGGCUACACACUGGAUAAUGAUAACAUGGUUUUUCAAUUUACCAGAUAGCGUAUAAAUCAUUUCACAUUUAUUUUGGAGUAAAAGCGUCCUGUUCUUCCUUGUUGAAACCCAAUGCAGAUCUCAGUUAUGAAGUGUCCUCACCAGUGUCAAGUGAAGCCAGUGAAGGCUGGUCAGGUGUCGCUGAUACGAGAGGCAAAGAGCGGAGAGGAUGAGCUAGAUAGAGGAACAGAGACAGAAGGCAGAGGAGAAGAGAGUACAGGUCCUAGUGGUACAAGAAGCAGAGGAUCUAGAGGAGAGUACAGGUCCUAGUGGUACAAGAGGCAGAGGAUCCAGAGGAGAAGAGAGUACAGGUCCCAGU
Molecule: long non-coding RNA, 873 nt
Organism: Clupea harengus (Atlantic herring)
Lineage: Eukaryota; Metazoa; Chordata; Actinopteri; Clupeiformes; Clupeidae
Exons: 2
Source: RefSeq, a predicted model, not a curated record